ACGGGAGGCAGCAGUGGGGAAUGUUGGGCAAUGGGCGAAAGCCUGACCCAGCGACGCCGCGUGAGGGAAGACGGUCUUCGGAUUGUAAACCUCUUUCAGCAGGGAAGACAAAAGGACGGUACCUGCAGAAGAAGCCACGGCUAACUACGUGCCAGCAGCCGCGGUAAUACGUAGGUGGCAAGCGUUACCCGGAAUUACUGGGUGUAAAGGGUGUGUAGGCGGGACUGCAAGUCAGAUGUGAAAAUUAUGGGCUCAACCCAUAACCUGCGUCUGAAACUGUGGUUCUUGAGAGUGGGAGAGGUAGAUGGAAUUCCUGGUGUAGCGGUGAAAUGCGUAGAUAUCAGGAGGAACACCGGUGGCGAAGGCGAUCUACUGGACCACAACUGACGCUGAGACACGAAAGCGUGGGGAGCAAACAGGAUUAGAUACCCUGGUA
Molecule: ribosomal RNA, 436 nt
Filed under: uncultured Oscillospiraceae bacterium
Lineage: Bacteria; Bacillati; Bacillota; Clostridia; Eubacteriales; Oscillospiraceae
Description: bacterial SSU rRNA
Rfam family: Bacterial small subunit ribosomal RNA
Source: RNAcentral